This 497-nucleotide ribosomal RNA is filed under the name uncultured bacterium. RNAcentral's name for it is "partial 16S ribosomal RNA". It matches the Rfam family "Bacterial small subunit ribosomal RNA", at positions 28 to 507 of the family's 1533-position model. The record is from RNAcentral.
GACGAACGCUGGCGGCGUGCCUAAUACAUGCAAGUUGAGCGCUGAAGGUUGGUACUUGUACCAACUGGAUGAGCAGCGAACGGGUGAGUAACGCGUGGGGAAUCUGCCUUUGAGCGGGGGACAACAUUUGGAAACGAAUGCUAAUACCGCAUAAAAACUUUAAACACAAGUUUUAAGUUUGAAAGAUGCAAUUGCAUCACUCAAAGAUGAUCCCGCGUUGUAUUAGCUAGUUGGUGAGGUAAAGGCUCACCAAGGCGAUGAUACAUAGCCGACCUGAGAGGGUGAUCGGCCACAUUGGGACUGAGACACGGCCCAAACUCCUACGGGAGGCAGCAGUAGGGAAUCUUCGGCAAUGGACGAAAGUCUGACCGAGCAACGCCGCGUGAGUGAAGAAGGGUUACGGAUCGUAAAACUCUGUUGGUAGAGAAGAACGUUGGUGAGAGUGGAAAGCUCAUCAAGUGACGGUAACUACACAGAAAGGGACGGCUAACUACGUG